Molecule: ribosomal RNA, 504 nt
Filed under: Neolibavius sp. MF-2016
Lineage: Eukaryota; Metazoa; Arthropoda; Insecta; Hemiptera; Reduviidae
Description: partial 28S ribosomal RNA
Rfam family: Eukaryotic large subunit ribosomal RNA
Source: RNAcentral
AGGCGUAAUGAAAGUAAAGGAUAAAAAGAUAGAAGAAGUUAAGCAAUUUUCAUCUUUGAUUCUUUUAUCCUAGGGAAGAUGGAUAUCUUGUUUUAAAAAAAAAUUUUUUUUUUUUUUAAACAUAGAUCUCCCGCAUUCCCAGGGCGCUUGGACUUGCUUUGCAAGUCUAUGCGCACCUAGAGGGUACACGAUGACACCCGAAAGAUGGUGAACUAUGCCUGGCCAGGCCGAAGCCAGGGGAAACCCUGGGGGAGGUCCGCAGCGAUUCUGACGUGCAAAUCGAUCGUUAGAGCUGGGUAUAGGGGGGAAAGACCAAUCGAACCAUCUAGUAGCUGGUUCCCUCUGAAGUUUCCCUCAGGAUAGCUUGCGCUCGAUUUUAAAGAGUUUCAUCCGGUAGAGCGAAUGAUUAGAGGCAUUGGGGUCGAAACGACCUCAACCUAUUCUCAAACUCCAAAUAGAUGAGACCCCAGGCUUUCUUAAAGAGAGAAAAAAGAAAAUUUUUAA